This is a long non-coding RNA of Capsicum annuum, 1125 nucleotides long. RefSeq lists it as uncharacterized. The transcript has 3 exons. NCBI's taxonomy places the organism in Eukaryota, Viridiplantae, Streptophyta, Magnoliopsida, Solanales, Solanaceae. The record is from RefSeq and is a predicted model, not a curated record.
AAACUCCUCUUAAUUUAUCCGGUACCAUUCCUUAAAAACUCUGCUGAGCCGUCCAGCACAACAUAGCAGCGACAAACAACAGCGACAAACAACAAUGAUUCAAGGAAGGGAUGGUGUGAUUUUGUACCAAAUCCACCUCAUAAUCUUAUUCUUUCUUCAAAUUUUGAAUUUUGUACAUUAAAAAAUUCCUAAAUUACCCUCAAGAAUUUCUAUCCUACAUCGCCAACUGAUCAAAAAUUUUGGGAUUUUGGAUUCUAUAUAAACCAUCCUUACUCCACUGUCCAAUGGGGGAUUUUUUUGGAAAUCCCAAAGAUCUAGAAUUCUCUUACUCGGUUAGGAUUUAGACUUUUGUCCCCAUCUUGAAGUUGUGAGAAUUUUGGCUUAGUUUUUAAUUUUUCUUGCUAUUUUCGAGUUGAAGAAAGUGGUGAAGUCUCGUCGUCAACUCAUAGUCUCGACGGUAUCGAUCCGAUGACCUCUAAGCAUUGAUUCUUGUGGUUUCCUCCUGCAUUAGUAUCCCUGGAGAUUCAAGAUGGCGAGGACUCAUAUAUUUCAGGAUAGUGGUCAUGAGCCCCCGCCAGCCUCAGUUUCGAUCAUCCAAGAUGGGUUCACGGAUGGGGUAGGAGAUGUGGUAGGGGCAACGGUUGUGGUAGAGAGAGAGCUCAAGGAGCCGCUCAUAUUCCUGAUAGGGCGGGGUCUCUCGAGGUUGAGUUCAAGGCGGGUGAUGAUGAUGUUCAGGUUCUAGUUGAUGGUGUGGGCCCAGGUCAGGCACCACCAGGGUUUGUUGCUACAUCAAUUCUUCAGGAUACAUUGAUUAAAGUGUUGGUUGUUUUGGAGACUAUAGCUCAGAGAGGCAGAUCAUUUGGCACUCCACAGAGUUCACAUAUUAGGGUGGGGGCGCAAACCCUAAAUCAGCAACCUAUCCUAGGGUUGCCUAUCGGUUGGAUCGAUUGGAUAAUUAUGCUUAGGUUUUGGCUUAUUGGUUAUCGGUUUUUAAGUAUACUAAUCCGCUAGAAACCCAAUAAGAUAACAGUUGGUUCGGUAUCGGAUUAGCAAUUAACGGAUUGUUAUCGGAUGGUGUAAUGGAUAAAUUUAAGAGAGAAUGAAAUAUCGAGCGAUUAUUAGUAA